UGCAGAAUCCCGUGAACCAUCGAGUUUUUGAACGCAAGUUGCGCCCGAAGCCGUUAGGCCGAGGGCACGUCUGCCUGGGCGUCACGU
RNAcentral lists this ribosomal RNA (87 nucleotides) under Sedum sp. US:3540366. RNAcentral's name for it is "partial 5.8S ribosomal RNA". It matches the Rfam family "5.8S ribosomal RNA", at positions 73 to 154 of the family's 154-position model. From Rfam's summary of the family: 5.8S ribosomal RNA (5.8S rRNA) is a component of the large subunit of the eukaryotic ribosome. It is transcribed by RNA polymerase I as part of the 45S precursor that also contains 18S and 28S rRNA. Lineage: Eukaryota; Viridiplantae; Streptophyta; Magnoliopsida; Saxifragales; Crassulaceae. The record is from RNAcentral.